AGAGCAUACUUAAUAAACACAUACAGAGCCCAGCAAGCUCUGGUUUCACUGAUGUCUUUCUGAGGGAAAACGAUUUGAAGACAGUUGGUGAAACAGCAUCCUUUCUGUGGGUAAAGGUUUCGGGGUCAGGUUUGGUUUUUGCUAUAAGAGCAAAUCAUCUUUUUUUUGCCUUCUUACUAUUGAUAGAUUUACUGUCUGUUUUAAACAAACUGUACUGUAAGUGUUUUGUUUUAGAUAGAUUUGACGUUUGCAUCCUGAAAUUUUAUGCUCUUACAUCAUGACAAUGGACCCAGACACCCGAUACACACAAUAGCCAAAUCAACAAAUGAAUUUAUGUGUGGACACAUGUAUGCCUUCUGUAUCUGAGCCACGGUCUGUUCAAACAUGUUUUCUUUUGUGUCCUCAUUUAUGACCAGGAUUGAGUCAGCUUUACAUCGACCACAUGUUUGCCGAGACUUGAAACACAAACCAGACAUAAUUUCCUCAACCUGACCUUUUGGCUGCAGUGGACAUGUAUCCCGGUGGAGCUGCCACGAAGAAGGAUCCUGAUAUUGCAUAUCAGCUAAAUGACCAAGUUAUGGUCUAAGCUCAGGUCACUGGGAUACAGCCGGGGUUGCGAUGGACCAAACCUGCACCACUGAUUACACCCUUUAACUGGACAACCACACGGAUGAUCUGACUACUGCCUUGGCGUUCAUGCUAACAGAGCAAGGGGCAAAGAAGCAGCUGUGAAGAGCCUGGACCCCCUUCCCCCUCCCCCUCCACCGCCCCACUUCGUCUCUCACCUGUGUCACCUCUGCCCGCCAGGGCCAUCAAUGGUGCGUCAGCCGUCUUGUUUGGCACCUUCUCACCUGUGGCGCUGCUUUGCUCCUCGCUGGCUAACGUGCCUCCGCCAUCACCAACCUCUCCCACCUCUUGGUCCUGAAGGCAUCUGUCACUCACCUGUCACUUUUUUCAUCAGCUCCGAGUUUCCUCCCACUUUUCCACAAUGGCCUCGGUGAAGGUGGAAAUGAAAGCAUCGGAGCAAAAAUGGUGGCUGUUAUGUCCUAAUUUCAGGUUUGGCUGGAGUGACGAGAAUGACUCGUUGCAGAAGAGGUGACUGACAGCCAUGUUCCCCUUUUGAUGCAUGCGAAAAUUUUCAAGUUAAAUAUCUGACACAUUUAGAGAAAAUAUUUAGUUUUCACCUGUAACAGAAGUGUUUUGAGGCCUAUAUCUUGGAUGAAAAUGUGACAAAAAAAGUGUAUUAUGGUAACACAGUUGUCAUUUGUCUUUAAAGUGAAAUUUGUUUUUAGACUGAUGCAUCUUUAAUCACGUUUCAAAGACAAAACAUUUUCACAAUUAAAAAAACAAAACAAAACUAA
Molecule: long non-coding RNA, 1361 nt
Organism: Austrofundulus limnaeus
Lineage: Eukaryota; Metazoa; Chordata; Actinopteri; Cyprinodontiformes; Rivulidae
Exons: 3
Source: RefSeq, a predicted model, not a curated record